AGCUUCUGGGGAAGAAUCCAAAGAUGAUCUGUGGCUUGGAGGGGCGGGAGACGGGCGAGGUGGCCGCAGCGGGGGCGGGCGGCGGGACCGGGACGUGCAGGGGGAGGUCCGGGCAGCUGCGGGGAGCCUGGGGCGACGGCUGUCCGGUACGGGGUCCCUCCGGUUCCGCGGCGGCGGAGCCUCUAGGCCUCACGGCCGGACCCGAACCUCAGCGUUCCGGUGGCGGCGGCGGCCUCACGAUCCUCCCCCGCGGGCCCGUCCCAUCAAAUCGGCACCGACCCCGUUGCGGCUCCGCCGGUGGCUCCUCGCUCACAUUCCUGGCGGGCGGCGCCUCAGCUCGUUGCCCCGGACCCGGCGGCGGCGGCGACGACGUGGGGAGGGGGGGAAGGGAGGGAGGAAGACUGGAUCUGCAGCGGCAGCAAGAGAAGGGGACAGAAUAAGGAGGAGGAGCCGCAGGAGCUGGAGCCGCCGCUGCCAGAGCCACCUUUCGCUACCCGCGGUGGGUCCCAGUCAAUGCCCCUUUCUCUCUCCUAUUGUCAAUAUCACCGGGCGGCUGAGUCCAUGGCACACGCGCAACCGAACCUUCUGGCCAGCAGCGCCCGCCUCCGGCGCCCGCCCACUGGAGACUUCAAACGGGAAGCGAGGCCUCAUUGGCCAGUAUCCGCCUUCACUCCCCUGACAGCAUGUUCGGCUGAGACCUGAUCAGGGAUUGGCGGCAGGAGGGCGGAGAAACGGGAGGGUGGGAAGAGAGAAGGUCGAGGAUUGGGCCGAAGCUUGAGGAACCCGGAUGCAGCCGCGAUCUCGGGCGGUGCAGCCGCCGCUUCCGCCCGGCAGUGGGGCAAGCUGAAGUGAGAAGCCGCUGGGCCUGAGAGGAGCUCUUUAAUUCCGGGAGGUGUGCGACUAGCGGAUCAGCGGGCUGGCUUUCCGUGCUGUGCGGAGCCUUUGGGCGGCGGUCGUCUUGGACCGGAGGAUUCCAAGGGCUCGGGUCGUCUAAGGGUCGGGGAGCCCCGGAGACUUGAUCCCGCCCUGCAGCUAGUGUGGCCCCUCAGGGUUUGGGGAGUCCCACUCUGGACGGGACCCUGUGAUGCGUAGGCAGGAAUAAGAUCCCCCGCCCGUGCCGGUGUGCCACUGCUUGUGUAAAUGGGCCCCUUGAAACCCCCAGCAGUCGCUCUCCGCUGAACCUUCUUCGAAUUUUCUCUCACCUCAUCUCCUUUUCCUUAAACGUCUGUUUUGAAUAUCAGACCCCUGUAGCGUUGAAGCCAGCGCUCGUUUAAUUAAUGCAGGUGGGAACGCUGUCGCCACAGUUUGCAGUCUAUUCAUUCAGAAUAACCCGCCAGUCAGCCGACUGCUCAGAGCUCGGAAAGACCCAGCUCCAAACUAGGAGUUUCGAGAUUUUAAUUGGCAAGUUGGACCCGAAAGAGUUAAUGGAGAAGACUACUUAAAUCUAUCUAGAACAAGUGAUGAGAUAUUUGGAGAUGUGUUUGCAUGCUUGGUGAAUGCAGACGGCCAAAUGGUACAUUUCCAGAUAAUAUUCUUGGAUUAAUGUAUUUGAAUGCACCCUACGUACAUUUUUUGAGAGGAAAAAAGGAAGAAAGAAAUUAUUAAUGCUAACUACAAACGUCAGAGUACCAGUUGUUCAAAACUUAGAAAUUGGGGGGGGGGACAAAAAAAUUAACAUUCUUAUUUUCUCAACUCAGAGAUAACCACUUACAGUAUUUGCAUACUUCCUUUUAGUAUUUUUUCUCUUUAUGUUAAUAAUGUGUGUCGAUCUGUAGCCUAGUUUUUUCCCUCAGCAUUAUAUCAUCUUUUCGAUACGGUUAGGGAAUAGAGCUAUAUAUAAAUAAAACUAUAUGUACCAUAUGUACAAGUGACAACGAAAAA
This is a long non-coding RNA of Homo sapiens (human), 1881 nucleotides long. RefSeq annotates it as loricrin-like. The transcript has a single exon. NCBI's taxonomy places the organism in Eukaryota, Metazoa, Chordata, Mammalia, Primates, Hominidae. The record is from RefSeq and is marked predicted.